CUACGGGGGGCUGCAGUGGGGAAUAUUGCACAAUGGGCGCAAGCCUGAUGCAGCCAUGCCGCGUGUAUGAAGAAGGCCUUCGGGUUGUAAAGUACUUUCAGCGGGGAGGAAGGGAGUAAAGUUAAUACCUUUGCUCAUUGACGUUACCCGCAGAAGAAGCACCGGCUAACUCCGUGCCAGCAGCCGCGGUGAAUACGGAGGGUGCAAGCGUUAAUCGGAAUUACUGGGCGUAAAGCGCACGCAGGCGGUUUGUUAAGUCAGAUGUGAAAUCCCCGGGCUCAACCUGGGAACUGCAUCUGAUACUGGCAAGCUUGAGUCUCGUAGAGGGGGGUAGAAUUCCAGGUGUAGCGGUGAAAUGCGUAGAGAUCUGGAGGAAUACCGGUGGCGAAGGCGGCCCCCUGGACGAAGACUGACGCUCAGGUGCGAAAGCGUGGGGAGCAAACAGGAUUAGAUACCCUAGUAGUC
RNAcentral lists this ribosomal RNA (465 nucleotides) under uncultured bacterium. RNAcentral's name for it is "partial 16S ribosomal RNA". It matches the Rfam family "Bacterial small subunit ribosomal RNA", at positions 339 to 795 of the family's 1533-position model. The record is from RNAcentral.